RNAcentral lists this ribosomal RNA (247 nucleotides) under uncultured bacterium. RNAcentral's name for it is "partial 16S ribosomal RNA". It matches the Rfam family "Bacterial small subunit ribosomal RNA", at positions 530 to 776 of the family's 1533-position model. The record is from RNAcentral.
GGGGGCUAGCGUUGCUCGGAAUCACUGGGCGUAAAGGGUGCGUAGGCGGGUCUUUAAGUCAGGGGUGAAAUCCUGGAGCUCAACUCCAGAACUGCCUUUGAUACUGAGGAUCUUGAGUUCGGGAGAGGUGAGUGGAACUGCGAGUGUAGAGGUGAAAUUCGUAGAUAUUCGCAAGAACACCAGUGGCGAAGGCGGCUCACUGGCCCGAUACUGACGCUGAGGCACGAAAGCGUGGGGAGCAAACAGG